AUACACUGUCAACACAGUACUGGUCCGUGCACACUUCUCAACCUCCUGGAGCAUACCCCACCGCCACACUGCAGAGGCCGCCACCUCUGCCCCAAUGCCCCCCACAGUUCACCUGGUCCUCACACAAGCCCUGCCCCACAGAGGCAAACACCCUUGCCUGCCUGUAGAGGAUCAAGGCACUCAGUCAAUGCAGGCUGAAUAGCAGCCUGAGGGCUUGCUGUUAGGUGGGGCCAGUCCCUAGGGUGGGUUGCCUGCCCUGGCUGAACUGGAUUAAAUUUGUGCUCUAGUGGGUGUGGCAGACUCCUGGGCUAACAGCCUAAGGGACACACCUCAAUGGCCCCCACCGGUGUCCGGUGUCCAGUGUCUGUAUCAGCAAGCCUGGACCAGCUCAGAACAACGGCCCCCACCAAUGUCUCAGUCUCAGGAGAGGAUCGUCCUCUCACCAAGAUGCUCCCAGAGCCCAUCAGGCUGUCAGCCUCAGCACCCCCCCCUCCAACCCACCUAUGGCUUCAAGUUGCAUCUGGACAACACGUGAUGCUGGAAUAGAAUUUUACAACCAGACACAAAGAAGAAGAGAAAAGUCAAGCGCUUAGUGAGAAUCAGUUGCAGGAAGUAAAGAGUGGAAUCGAGAGAUAGCUAGGUAAGUGAUUAUAAAAAUUAUUUCGAGAGAUGCUGGUGACUUGGACAAAGGUGCUAGCAGUGAAGGGGGUGAAAAGUUGUUAUGUUCUAUUAUGUUGUGAAAGAAGUGCCAACAAGAUGCCCUGGUUGAUUGGAACCAAGGUGAGAGAUAAUGAAAGGCAUCAAGAGUGAUUCACAACUUUUGUCCUGAAAAAUUGGAAAAAUGAGUUUUGCAAUUUGAUGAUAUGGGCAAAGCUGGAGGAGAACCCGAAUUGGAGGUAAUGUUGCAGAGUUUAGGCAUUUCUUUUGUUUUCAAGGAGAUUAGCCCUGAGCUAACUACUGCCAACCCUCCUCUUUUUUUGCUGAGGAAGGCUGGCCCUGAGCUAACAUCCGUGCCCAUCUUCGUCUGCUUUAUACUUGGGACGCCUACCACAGCAUGGUGUGCGAAGCAGUGUCAUGUCUGCAACUGGGAUCCGAACCGGUGAACCCCGGGCCGCGGAGAAGAAGAACCUGCGAACUUAAUUGCUGCACCACCGGGCCUGCCCCAGGCAUUUCUUUUAAAGAUUAUUUUUGAGAAGCUAAUAGAAUGUCAAAAUGUGGUUAUCAAAGUUGCAUUGUGAUGUUUGUGCUUCUAGUUCAGAGAUGUGUGCCUUAGAUAAAAAACGGACAGUUGUCUACAUAGGGAUGGUAUUUAAAACUUGGGAUAGACCACCAAAAAAGUUAGUUGUUAUGGGUUAAAUAUGUGCAUUCCCCCAAAAUUCACAUGAUAAAAUCCUACCCCCUAAUGUGAUAGUAUUAGGAGGGGUAGCCUUUGGAAGGUUUUUAGGUCACGGGAGCAGGGCCCUUAUAAAUAGGAUUAAUGCUCUUAUAAAAUGGACCCCAGAGAGCUUUCUCCCCUUUUUUCUGCUGUGUGAGGGUACACGGAGAAGUUGGCAGUCUGCACCUGGAAGAGGGCCCUUCC
Equus caballus (horse) is the source of this 1579-nucleotide long non-coding RNA. The record is from Ensembl. Lineage: Eukaryota; Metazoa; Chordata; Mammalia; Perissodactyla; Equidae.